Molecule: ribosomal RNA, 19 nt
Filed under: Alternaria alternata
Lineage: Eukaryota; Fungi; Ascomycota; Dothideomycetes; Pleosporales; Pleosporaceae
Description: partial 18S ribosomal RNA
Source: RNAcentral
CAGUAACAAAUUAAUAAUU